GACGAAGGGGGCUAGCGUUGUUCGGAAUUACUGGGCGUAAAGAGUGUGUAGGCGGUGUUCCCAGUCUGUUGUGAAAUCUCCCGGCUUAACUGGGAGGGUGCAGCGGAAACUAGAAUGCUAGAGGGUGGGAGAGGUAAGCGGAAUUCCUGGUGUAGCGGUGAAAUGCGUAGAUAUCAGGAGGAACACCGGUGGCGAAGGCGGGUCUCUGGGCAGUAACUGACGCUGAGGAGCGAAAGCGUGGGGAGCGAACAGG
RNAcentral lists this ribosomal RNA (253 nucleotides) under uncultured bacterium. Its description in RNAcentral is "partial 16S ribosomal RNA". It matches the Rfam family "Bacterial small subunit ribosomal RNA", at positions 524 to 776 of the family's 1533-position model. The record is from RNAcentral.